Molecule: non-coding RNA, 459 nt
Organism: Suricata suricatta (meerkat)
Lineage: Eukaryota; Metazoa; Chordata; Mammalia; Carnivora; Herpestidae
Source: the annotation of a RefSeq genome assembly
CAGGACUCCUCAGUUCUGCUUCUCACAAUGAGGUUCCCUGCUCAGCUGCUGGGGCUGCUGGUGCUCUGGAUCCCAGGAUCCAGUGGGGAUGUCGUGCUGACGCAGAUCCCAGCGUCCCUGCCGGUCACCCCUGGACAGCCGGCCUCCAUCUCCUGCAGGGCCAGUCAGAGCCUCCUGCACAGCGAUGGAAACACCUAUUUGUAUUGGUUCCUGCAAAAGCCAGGCCAGUCUCCACAGCGCCUGAUCUAUCUGGUUUCCAAAAGGGUCUCCGGGGUCCCAGACAGGUUCAGCGGCAGCGGGUCAGGGACAGAUUUCACCCUGACAAUCAGCAGGGUGGAGGCUGAGGACGUCGGAGUUUAUUACUGCAUGCAGGCUACACACGAGCCUCCCACAGUGGUUCAGCCCCGAACACAAACCUCUCUGUCUGGCGCGUCACCACCCUCCACACGUGUUGCCUGA